AAACCAACAGGGAUUGCCUUAGUAACGGCGAGUGAAGCGGCAACAGCUCAAAUUUGAAAUCUGGCCCUUGGGUCCGAAUUGUAAUUUGUAGAGGAUGAUUUUGGUGCGGUAUCUUCCGAGUUCCUUGGAACAGGACGCCUUAGAGGGUGAGAGCCCCGUACGGUUGAAUGCCUAGCCUCUGUAAAUCUCCUUCGACGAGUCGAGUAGUUUGGGAAUGCUGCUCUAAAUGGGAGGUAAAUUUCUUCUAAAGCUAAAUAUUGGCCAGAGACCGAUAGCGCACAAGUAGAGUGAUCGAAAGAUGAAAAGCACUUUGAAAAGAGGGUUAAAUAGCACGUGAAAUUGUUGAAAGGGAAGGAUUUGUGACCAGACUUUUUCUGGGCGGAUCAUCCGGGGUUCUCUCCGGUGCACUUCGCCCAGUAAAGGCCAGCAUCGGUUUUCGGCGUGGGAUAAAAGCAGUAGGAAUGUGGCUCUCUACGGGGAGUGUUAUAGCCUAUUGUAUAAUACCGCGCUGGGGACCGAGGUUCGCGCUUCUGCAAGGAUGCUGGCGUAAUGGUUAUCAAUCACCCGUCUUGAAACACGGACCAAGGAGUCGAACAUUUGUGCGAGUGUUUGGGUGUUAAACCCUCACGCGUAAUGAAAGUGAACGGAGGUGAGAGCCCUUACGGGGGUGCAUCAUCGACCGAUCCUGAAGUUUUCGGAUGGAUUUGAGUAAGAGCAUAACUGUUCGGACCCGAAAGAUGGUGAACUAUGCGUGGAUAGGGUGAAGCCAGAGGAAACUCUGGUGGAGGCUCGCAGCGGUUCUGACGUGCAAAUCGAUCGUCAAAUCUGCGCAUGGGGGCGAAA
RNAcentral lists this ribosomal RNA (843 nucleotides) under Pestalotia pampeana. RNAcentral describes it as "eukaryotic LSU rRNA". It matches the Rfam family "Eukaryotic large subunit ribosomal RNA", at positions 62 to 928 of the family's 3401-position model. Lineage: Eukaryota; Fungi; Ascomycota; Sordariomycetes; Amphisphaeriales; Amphisphaeriaceae. The record is from RNAcentral.